This 198-nucleotide ribosomal RNA is filed under the name uncultured bacterium. RNAcentral describes it as "partial 16S ribosomal RNA". It matches the Rfam family "Bacterial small subunit ribosomal RNA", at positions 328 to 539 of the family's 1533-position model. The record is from RNAcentral.
ACGCUCGACACCUACGGGAGACAGCAGUGGGGAAUAUUGCACAAUGGGGGAAACCCUGAUGCAGCAACGCCGCGUGAGUGAAGAAGUAUUUCGGUAUGUAAAGCUCUAUCAGCAGGGAAGAUAAUGACGGUACCUGACUAAGAAGCUCCGGCUAAAUACGUUCCAGCAGCCGCGGUAAUCUGAGCGGGCUGGCAAGGC